AUUGAACGCUGGCGGCAUGCCUUACACAUGCAAGUCGAACGGGCUUUUGGGGCUUGCUCCAAAAGUUAGUGGCGAACGGGUGAGUAAUAUAUCGGAACGUGCCCUGGAGUGGGGGACAACCAGUCGAAAGAUUGGCUAAUACCGCAUACGAUCCAAGGAUGAAAGUGGGGGACAUUCGGGCCCCAUGCUCCUGGAGCGGCCGAUAUCGGAUUAGCUAGUUGGUGGGGUAAGGCCCACCAAGGCGACGAUCAGUAGCUGGUCUGAGAGGAUGAUCAGCCACACUGGGACUGAGACACGGCCCAGACUCCUACGGGAGGCAGCAGUGGGGAAUUUUGGACAAUGGGGGCAACCCUGAUCCAGCCAUUCCGCGUGAGUGAAGAAGGCCUUCGGGUUGUAAAGCUCUUUCGGCAGGAACGAAACGGUGGCCCCUAAUACGGGUUGCUAAUGACGGUACCUGAAGAAGAAGCACCGGCUAACUACGUGCCAGCCGCCGCAGUAA
RNAcentral lists this ribosomal RNA (499 nucleotides) under uncultured bacterium. Its description in RNAcentral is "partial 16S ribosomal RNA". It matches the Rfam family "Bacterial small subunit ribosomal RNA", at positions 30 to 523 of the family's 1533-position model. The record is from RNAcentral.